This 667-nucleotide ribosomal RNA is filed under the name uncultured Bacilli bacterium. RNAcentral describes it as "bacterial SSU rRNA". It matches the Rfam family "Bacterial small subunit ribosomal RNA", at positions 76 to 729 of the family's 1533-position model. The record is from RNAcentral. Lineage: Bacteria; Bacillati; Bacillota; Bacilli.
AAUGACGUUAGGAAAGCGAGCGGCGGAUGGGUGAGUAGCACGUGGGGAACCUGCCCCAUAGUCUGGGAUACCACUUGGAAACAGGUGCUAAUACCGGAUAAGAAAGCAGAUCGCAUGAUCAGCUUUUAAAAGGCGGCGUAAGCUGUCGCUAUGGGAUGGCCCCGCGGUGCAUUAGCUAGUUGGUAAGGUAAAGGCUUACCAAGGCGAUGAUGCAUAGCCGAGUUGAGAGACUGAUCGGCCACAUUGGGACUGAGACACGGCCCAAACUCCUACGGGAGGCAGCAGUAGGGAAUCUUCCACAAUGGACGCAAGUCUGAUGGAGCAACGCCGCGUGAGUGAAGAAGGUUUUCGGAUCGUAAAGCUCUGUUGUUGGUGAAGAAGGAUAGAGGUAGUAACUGGCCUUUAUUUGACGGUAAUCAACCAGAAAGUCACGGCUAACUACGUGCCAGCAGCCGCGGUAAUACGUAGGUGGCAAGCGUUGUCCGGAUUUAUUGGGCGUAAAGCGAGCGCAGGCGGAAGAAUAAGUCUGAUGUGAAAGCCCUCGGCUUAACCGAGGAACUGCAUCGGAAACUGUUUUUCUUGAGUGCAGAAGAGGAGAGUGGAACUCCAUGUGUAGCGGUGGAAUGCGUAGAUAUAUGGAAGAACACCAGUGGCGAAGGCGGCUCUC